AAAUAGUGAAGAAAAUAAAAGCAGCGGAGAAGGGUAGUUUGUCGCAUCUCAAGAAGGAACGCUACAGAUUGGAAAGGUUCAGAAGCAUUGAGGAAAGGAAAAGUAUUGUAAAAGUAGCUUGCGUGACUCCGGUUCUUCGGUGGAGAUGGAGUAUCUUCCGAUUUCCUCAUGGGAAACAUCACAUAUGAUCAUGAGUGAUUUUUUCAAGAUAUGGAAGGAAACUCUUGG
Molecule: long non-coding RNA, 228 nt
Organism: Solanum lycopersicum (tomato)
Lineage: Eukaryota; Viridiplantae; Streptophyta; Magnoliopsida; Solanales; Solanaceae
Source: RefSeq, a predicted model, not a curated record